AGCCGAGCGGUGAGCACGGAGCGAACUAUUCUUUCGCCUUUUACUAAAGAAAACCGUGCGCUCGCCGCAGAUAUUGGCGUACGCCUAGUUUUGAAGGUGGGUACAUCAGUGAAUCCC
Small nuclear RNA from Alnus glutinosa, 117 nucleotides. RefSeq annotates it as U5 spliceosomal RNA. NCBI's taxonomy places the organism in Eukaryota, Viridiplantae, Streptophyta, Magnoliopsida, Fagales, Betulaceae. The transcript has a single exon. The record is from RefSeq and is a predicted model, not a curated record.